RNAcentral lists this ribosomal RNA (468 nucleotides) under uncultured bacterium. Its description in RNAcentral is "partial 16S ribosomal RNA". It matches the Rfam family "Bacterial small subunit ribosomal RNA", at positions 28 to 507 of the family's 1533-position model. The record is from RNAcentral.
GACGAACGCUGGCGGCGUGCUUAACACAUGCAAGUCGAACGGAAAGGCCCUGCUUUUGUGGGGUGCUCGAGUGGCGAACGGGUGAGUAACACGUGAGUAACCUGCCCUUGACUUUGGGAUAACUUCAGGAAACUGGGGCUAAUACCGGAUAGGAGCUCCUGCUGCAUGGUGGGGGUUGGAAAGUUUCGGCGGUUGGGGAGGGACUCGCGGCUUAUCAGCUUGUUGGUGGGGGAGUGGCUUACCAAGGCUUUGACGGGUAGCCGGCCUGAGGGGGUGACCGGCCACAUUGGGACGGAGAUACGGCCCGAACUCCUACGGGAGGCAGCAGUGGGGAAUAUUGCACAAUGGGCGGAAGCCUGAUGCAGCAACGCCGCGUGCGGGAUGACGGCCUUCGGGUUGUAAACCGCUUUCGCCUGUGACGAAGCGUGAGUGACGGUAAUGGGUAAAGAAGCACCGGCUAACUACGUG